AGUGAACGCUGGCGGUAGGCCUAACACAUGCAAGUCGAACGGCAGCACAGUAAGAGCUUGCUCUUACGGGUAGCGAGUGGCGGACGGGUGAGGAAUACAUCGGAAUCUACUUUUUCGUGGGGGAUAACGUAGGGAAACUUACGCUAAUACCGCAUACGACCUACGGGUGAAAGCAGGGGAUCUUCGGACCUUGCGCGAUUGAAUGAGCCGAUGUCGGAUUAGCUAGUUGGCGGGGUAAAGGCCCACCAAGGCGACGAUCCGUAGCUGGUCUGAGAGGAUGAUCAGCCACACUGGAACUGAGACACGGUCCAGACUCCUGCGGGAGGCAGCAGUGGGGAAUAUUGGACAAUGGGCGCAAGCCUGAUCCAGCCAUACCGCGUGGGUGAAGAAGGCCUUCGGGUUGUAAAGCCCUUUUGUUGGGAAAGAAAAGCAGCAGGUUAAUACCCCGCUGUUCUGACGGUACCCAAAGAAUAAGCACCGGCUAACUUCGUG
Molecule: ribosomal RNA, 492 nt
Filed under: uncultured bacterium
Lineage: Bacteria
Description: partial 16S ribosomal RNA
Rfam family: Bacterial small subunit ribosomal RNA
Source: RNAcentral